GAUGAGCGCUGGCGGCGUGCUUAACACAUGCAAGUCGAACGAAGCAUUUAGGACAGAUUACUUCGGUUUGAAGUUCUUUAUGACUGAGUGGCGGACGGGUGAGUAACGCGUGGGUAACCUGCCUUGUACUGGGGGAUAGCAGCUGGAAACGGCUGGUAAUACCGCAUAAGCGCACAAUGUUGCAUGACAUGGUGUGAAAAACUCCGGUGGUAUAAGAUGGACCCGCGUCUGAUUAGCUAGUUGGUGAGAUAACAGCCCACCAAGGCGACGAUCAGUAGCCGACCUGAGAGGGUGACCGGCCACAUUGGGACUGAGACACGGCCCAGACUCCUACGGGAGGCAGCAGUGGGGAAUAUUGCACAAUGGAGGAAACUCUGAUGCAGCGACGCCGCGUGAGUGAAGAAGUAAUUCGUUAUGUAAAGCUCUAUCAGCAGGGAAGAUAGUGACGGUACCUGACUAAGAAGCUCCGGCUAAAUACGUG
RNAcentral lists this ribosomal RNA (481 nucleotides) under uncultured bacterium. RNAcentral describes it as "partial 16S ribosomal RNA". It matches the Rfam family "Bacterial small subunit ribosomal RNA", at positions 28 to 507 of the family's 1533-position model. The record is from RNAcentral.